RNAcentral lists this ribosomal RNA (709 nucleotides) under uncultured organism. Its description in RNAcentral is "bacterial SSU rRNA". It matches the Rfam family "Bacterial small subunit ribosomal RNA", at positions 88 to 777 of the family's 1533-position model. The record is from RNAcentral.
GAGUAUAGUGGCGACGGUGAGUACGCGUGGGAACCUGCCCGUUAGUGGGGGAUACAUGGCUAACGUGCUGCUAAUACCGCAUGUGUCCCCGGAAUCGCAUGGUUCCGGGAAGAAAUGUGGUCUCUCCUUGGAAGCUAUCGCUUAAUGAUGGUCCCGCGUCCCAUUAGCUUGUUGGUGGGGUAAUGGCCUACCAAUGCGACGAUGGGUAGCCGGNCUGAGAGGGUGUGCGGNCACACUGGGACUGAGAUACGGCCCAGACUCCUACGGGAGGCAGCAGUCGAGAAGCUUCGGCAAUGGGCGAAAGCCUGACCGAGCGACGCCGCGUGAGCGAUGAAGGUCCUAUGGAUUGUAAAGCUCUGUCAGAUUGGGAAGAAAACUUCGCGAUUAAUACCCGCGAAGCUUGACGGUACCAUCAGAGGAAGCACCGGCUAACUCCGUGCCAGCAGCCGCGGUAAUACGGAGGGUGCGAGCGUUGUUCGGAUUCACUGGGUAUAAAGGGUGCGUAGGCGGCCUCGUAAGUCAGGGGUGAAAUAUGACGGCUCAACCGUCAAACUGCCCCUGAAACUGCAAGGCUUGAGUCCGGGAGAGGAAGGUGGAAUUCCUGGUGUAGCGGUGAAAUGCGUAAAUAUCAGGAGGAACACCGGUGGCGAAGGCGGCCUUCUGGUCCGGUACUGACGCUGAGGCACGAAAGCUACGGGAGCGAACAGGA